This 440-nucleotide ribosomal RNA is filed under the name uncultured bacterium. RNAcentral's name for it is "partial 16S ribosomal RNA". It matches the Rfam family "Bacterial small subunit ribosomal RNA", at positions 338 to 795 of the family's 1533-position model. The record is from RNAcentral.
CCUACGGGUGGCAGCAGUGGGGAAUCUUCCACAAUGGAGGGAACUCUGAUGCAGCGACGCCGCGUGAGUGAAGAAGUAAUUCGUUACGUAAAGCUCUAUCAGCAGGGAAGAAAGUGACGGUACCUGAAAAAGAAGCUCCGGCUAAAUACGUGCCAGCAGCCGCGGUAAUACGUAUGGCGCAAGCGUUAUCCGGAAUUACUGGGUGUAACGGGAGAGUAGGUGGCAGAGCAAGUCCGAAGUGAAAGCCCAAAGCUCAACUAUGGGAAUGCUUUAGAAACUGCUCAGCUAGAGUGCAGGAGAGGCAAGUGGAAUGCUUAGUGUAGCGGUGAAAUGCGUAGAGAUUUGGAGGAACACCAGGGGCGAAGGCGACUUGCUGGACUGUAACUGACACUGAGGCGCGAAAGCGUGGGGAGCAAACAGGAUUAGAUACCCUUGUAGUC